AAACUCCGCAAUACGCGAAAGCGUGACGGGGGAACUCCAAGUGCGCUCGCGCAAGCGAGUGCUUUUGCAGAGUGCAAACAGCUCUGCGAAUAAAAGCGGGGUAAGACCGGUGCCAGCCGCCGCGGUAACACCGGCGGCUCGAGUGGUGACCGCUAUUAUUGGGUCUAAAGGGUCUGUAGCCGGCCUAAUAAGUUCUUUGGGAAAUCUGGCGGCUUAACCGUCAGGCUGCUGAGGGAUACUGUUAGGCUUGAGACCAGGAGAGGCUAGAGGUACCUCGGGGGUAGGGGUGAAA
This 292-nucleotide ribosomal RNA is filed under the name uncultured archaeon. RNAcentral describes it as "partial 16S ribosomal RNA". It matches the Rfam family "Archaeal small subunit ribosomal RNA", at positions 345 to 637 of the family's 1478-position model. The record is from RNAcentral.